UGGGGAAUAUUGCGCAAUGGGCGAAAGCCUGACGCAGCAACGCCGUGUGAGGGAUGAAGGCUUUCGGGUCGUAAACCUCUGUCGGAAGGGAAGAACGGGCAUUGGUCUAAUAGGCCUUUGUUUUUACGGUACCUUUAGAGGAAGCACCGGCUAACUCCGUGCCAGCAGCCGCGGUAAUACGGAGGGUUCAAGCGUUAUUCGGAAUUACUGGUCGUAAAGCGCACGUAGGCCGCUUUUUAAGUCAGGGGUGAAAUCCCACGGCUCAACCGUGGAACUGCCCUUGAAACUGCAGAGCUUGAAUCAUGGAGAGGGUGGCGGAAUUCCUGGUGUAGGAGUGAAAUCCGUAGAUAUCAGGAGGAACACCGGUGGCGAAGGCGGCCACCUGGACAGGCAUUGACGCUGAGGUGCGGAAGUGUGGGGAGCAAACAG
This 429-nucleotide ribosomal RNA is filed under the name uncultured bacterium. RNAcentral describes it as "bacterial SSU rRNA". It matches the Rfam family "Bacterial small subunit ribosomal RNA", at positions 355 to 775 of the family's 1533-position model. The record is from RNAcentral.